RNAcentral lists this ribosomal RNA (489 nucleotides) under uncultured bacterium. RNAcentral describes it as "bacterial SSU rRNA". It matches the Rfam family "Bacterial small subunit ribosomal RNA", at positions 28 to 499 of the family's 1533-position model. The record is from RNAcentral.
GAUGAACGCUAGCGGCAGGCUUAAUACAUGCAAGUCGAGGGGCAUCAAGGUACACGAAAGUGUAUUGUUGGCGACCGGCGGACGGGUGAGUAAUAGGUAGGUAACCUACCUCAUACUGAGGCAUAGCUGGGAGAAAUUCCAGGUAAUUCCUCAUGAGGUUAUAUGACACAUGUGAUAUAAUCAAAGGUAUCGCAAGGUACUGGUAUGAGAUGGGCUUACUGACCAUUAGCUAGUUGGUGAGAUAAGAGCUCACCAAGGCGAAGAUGGUUAGGGGUUUUGAGAGAGAGAUCCCCCACAUUGGAACUGAGAUACGGUCCAGACUCCUACGGGAGGCAGCAGUAGGGAAUAGUUGGGCAAUGGGCGGAAGCCUGACCCAGCCAUGCCGCGUGAAGGAAGACGGCCUUAUGGGUUGUAAACUUCUUUACUAUGCGACUAACUAGAUUUACGAGAUAAUUCUAUAGAAUGUAGCAUAGCAAAAAGCAACCGGUA